CCUACGGGGGGCUGCAGUGGGGAAUAUUGCACAAUGGGGGAAACCCUGAUGCAGCGACGCCGCGUGAGUGAAGAAGUAUUUCGGUAUGUAAAGCUCUAUCAGCAGGGAAGAAAAUGACGGUAGCUGAUUAACAAUCCCCGGCUAACUACGUGCCAGCAGCCGCGGUAAUACGUAGGGGGCAAGCGUUAUCCGGAUUUACUGGGUGGAAAGGGAGCGUAGACGGCAGCACAAGUCAGGCGUGAAAUGCCGGGGCUUAACCCCGGAACUGCUUUGGAAACUGUGCAGCUAGAGUGCAGGAGAGGUAAGUGGAAUUCCAAGUGUAGCGGUGAAAUGCGUAGAUAUUAGGAGGAACACCAGUGGCGAAGGCGACUUACUGGACUGUAACUGACGUUGAGGCUCGAAAGCGUGGGGAGCAAACAGGAUUAGAUACCCUGGUAGUC
This 440-nucleotide ribosomal RNA is filed under the name uncultured bacterium. Its description in RNAcentral is "partial 16S ribosomal RNA". It matches the Rfam family "Bacterial small subunit ribosomal RNA", at positions 338 to 795 of the family's 1533-position model. The record is from RNAcentral.